Raphanus sativus (radish) is the source of this 990-nucleotide long non-coding RNA. RefSeq lists it as uncharacterized. Lineage: Eukaryota; Viridiplantae; Streptophyta; Magnoliopsida; Brassicales; Brassicaceae. The record is from RefSeq and is a predicted model, not a curated record. The transcript has 2 exons.
UUACAUAUAUGGGCAAAGAUCUUAAAAUCAUUAUAGUGAAAACAGUUUUAUAAAAUUUUUAAACAUGAAAAACUUAUUAAACUUUGUACAGAUUUUGAAAAUAUCUAGAAAAUUAUAUUUGUCUGAAAAUAUAAAUGAAAAUGACUGGUAUUAUUUUAAACAAUGGAAUAGGAUGUUGAGAGACCUCAGAUCUGAUCAUCUUUCUCUGGUUCUGGCGGUUUUCUUAGCACUGGAACCGGUCUCCUUUUGUAUUUUAUUUAUCUUUUUGGCGGAUCUGUGCACUUUCAUCUAGGUUCUAUGCGGUGAUAGCUACGGUUCUGUUCUUUCUUUCUCUCCGAUGUGGACCGGCUGUCUUUGUAUGUCCUUUUGACAAGGCGUUUUUGGUUCUUAGCUGAUUGGUUUGGGUUGUGGUCACUCGGGUCCUCUGGUUCUUUCUCCUAGAAGCUCUGUUUUGAUUUUGUAUAUUCUCUCUCUCGAAGAUGCCUGAGUGGUCUUGUAAUUGACGCUCUUGAGAUUUCUCACCUCAAUCGACAGUUUUUUCGGUUCGUCUCUUACAGAUCCCCUACCAGUCUACCUUGAUCUGUUGUAACCGGUUCGGGAAUCUUACUGCCGCUUUUCUUUUGGAUGGCUCAAUAAUGUCUACGGCUGUUCUGUUAAAGCGGGUUUUGAUUGCUCUGGAGGGAACUCACGGCUUCGACAGCCCAAUGACAUGCUGUGGCGAGGGUGAAGUGAGAAGUCCGGUUUCAGUCGUACUUAUCUUAUCUUUUGUAGUUUCUGUUAAGCUUUCAGCUAUUUUGAUCCUUUAUGUUUAACUUGCCAGUUUUGAUUCGUUCUUGUGUGGUGUUUGUGAUUAUCGUUUUUAAAUUAUCUCCCAUGUGUGGGCUUUAGACUCCGGAGACAUUCAUGUCGUCUGCCGGCUUAAGAUUCACGGAGUUUUAUAAACCCCCAUCUUUGUUUGUAUGUUUCAGUUUCUAAUCAAAAUCUUUCCGA